GGCCAGACUCCUACGGGAGGCAGCAGUGAGGAAUAUUGGUCAAUGGGCUUACGCCUGAACCAGCCAAGUCGCGUGAGGGAAGACUGCCCUAUGGGUUGUAAACCUCUUUUGUCAGGGAGCAAUUGGCGCUACGUGUAGCGUUAUCGAGAGUACCUGAAGAAAAAGCAUCGGCUAACUCCGUGCCAGCAGCCGCGGUAAUACGGAGGAUGCGAGCGUUAUCCGGAUUUAUUGGGUUUAAAGGGUGCGUAGGCGGAAUGCCAAGUCAGCGGUAAAAUUGCGGGGCUCAACCUCGUCGAGCCGUUGAAACUGGGUGCCUUGAGUGGGCGAGAAGUACGCGGAAUGCGUGGUGUAGCGGUGAAAUGCAUAGAUAUCACGCAGAACUCCGAUUGCGAAGGCAGCAUACCGGCGCUCAACUGACGCUCAUGCACGAAAGCGUGGGUAUCGAACAGGAUUAGAUACCCUAGUA
RNAcentral lists this ribosomal RNA (466 nucleotides) under uncultured bacterium. RNAcentral describes it as "bacterial SSU rRNA". It matches the Rfam family "Bacterial small subunit ribosomal RNA", at positions 329 to 792 of the family's 1533-position model. The record is from RNAcentral.